CCCACUUGCAUGAUAUUCUUAAUGCAUCUCAACAUAUAUUCCUAAGCCAGCCGUAAUAAAACUAAGGUUGCAAAUAUGAGAGUUUGUGGGUUGUUUUUUCUCUGUCUUUAUGUUGUUUUAGCGGGUACUGUUCUUGCCAGAAAUUUGGAUGAUGAAGAGAAAUUUCUGUUCGGGAAGGGAGGUUGGUUUGGUCAUGGUUUUGGCCACAAUGGUGGUUUAUUCCCUCCUGGUGGAUUUGGCCCAGGUGGCGGUCCUGGCCGCCCGGGUGGUGGUUUGUUCCCUCCUGGCGGAUUUGGCCCGCAUGGUGGCUUGUUUCCUCCUGGCGGAUUUGACCCAGGUGGUGGUUUGUUUCCUGGUGGACCUCCCUGAUUCGCUUGUGACAGGGAUUUAAAACAUCAAGAGUGGGCUUUGCACAAUCAGUAUAUAUAUGGCACUACUUUGUACUAAUAUAUUACACAAUAAUUUCGAACCGUUCACUACAAAUACUUGUACCUGUGUGAAUUCUACUUCAUAAUAAAUAAUUUCUUUACCUACUAAUCAUCUCUUAAUUCCUCUUCCUAAGAUCCUUUGAUUAGUUUUCAUUAUGCAGAUUCCGAAAUACUACGAAAUAUAUAUGUACAAAUUACGUGGCUUCUGAACUGAUUAACGUUGGAAACUAAACUAUUCUCCUAAAAAGUCAAUCCUAAGUAUUUUCUAACACAAUCAACAAAUUCAGAUUAUACAAAAGAGUCUACCAAUGGUCAAAGUGAUCCAUCUACGUACUUUAACCACAAAACUUAGAUGAAUCCUAUCCAUUCAAUUAGAUAAUCCGUCAAUUAUUCUUUUUAAAGCGAAAUUGGAGGAAACAAAGCAAUUUUUUCACAAUAUGAUACACAAGUCGAAUUCAUAUUAUACCAUCGAUUUUUCAUUACUUAAAUUACUUUAAGAUUCACAAGAUUAUUCGUAAAUAAGAAUUUGUUAAAUAUGAAAUGCGACGUAUUUUUGUCAAUCAAAAGGUUUACUUUUUCAUCUAUGCAUAAUUUUUAAACUUUACGAUUUUCUGAUGAAAUAUUUAUUUAGUGCUGAAGAAGAUUUAGUCGAAAAUAUAACUUGACAAACCCAGCCUUGAGCCUACUCACCAAAUUUAAGAAGAAAAUGGGAACAUAUAUAAUCUACUAUUAAUUACAUUAUUUCACGUAAAUAUGUAAAGAAAUCAAAUUAGUCAGGCGUUAUCCAAAAGUUCCAAAUCAAAAUAGAAAAUGGAAGUUAUUUUGUAAGUAACUGAAACGCUAAACCCCUUAAACUUUGUACUGUGACCAUUCAGAAUCAUCACAUUCACUCCAUGAGCUUUCUUAAAUAACUAUUUCGAAAUACUUUAUUUUUCCUUUUAAAGUUUUCUCCCUUUAUGGGGAAUCGGGGGUGAUUGAGGUUCAAAAAAUGAAAGAUUAUGCCUAAUUUGUCAGCUUAGACCUUUGCCUUUAUUUGUAGUCAAUUUUAUUUUUAUUUUUGAAGAACAAAAAAUUAUGCAUGCAUCCCUCUGCAAAAUCUAUGUAUGCCUGAUUUUGUGUGGGAAGGGAAGGGUAGGGGAAGGGGUUGUUUUUAGGUGAAAUGUAAUAUUGAUGGCAUCAUUCAAUACAAUCUUUCCUUAAUAUAAGGUCUAAAAAUCCUAAUUGAGUUAUACUACAAGUACAUAAUUUUUGCACAGAGUCAGAUGUCAAAACAUCAUUCAAAUUCAAAGAUGUGAAAAAACAUUAAACAUAGACGGACAAAAUUUUUCUAUUUCAAAAUCUUGUAUGAAUUCUGUAAGUUUUCCCUGUAGGGAAAAAUCCUAAUUUUAGAAUUAUUGAUGCAGUUCUAUUUUAAGUUACUGCAAUGUCGUAGAUAAUAUAAUUUGACAGGACGAUAUUCCUCUUCUAACUUUAGAGCCUAUUUGGGAGUGAUUUUAAGAAUUGAUUUUUUGACCGUUAGGAGAAAAGUGUGUUCCACCUGUGAGAGAAGAAGUCAAAUAUGACGGUUGGAAUAGCAAAAUAACGGUCAAAAAAUCAAAUUUUUGGGUGAAAAAAUCGGGCCCAAACAGCCCCUUAGUUAGUAGGAUUUAAUUAAAUUAUCGACUGAAAAUGAUGAUGAAGAAAUCGAGCAAGAUUACAAGCAGGUCAGAUCCACUGUCUUCUAAUGUUGUUGUGUCUAAAGAUUCUUUAUGUGCUCCGUCAUUGCAUGCCCUUCUAGAUACAACUUGUGCCAAAGUACCUUAUCUUAUCUACGCAUCUUGGUGCAAUUUUAAGGAGAAAUGUAUAUCUAUACUUAAUUUCUAAUAUAGAAAUAGGUUUAAAAAAAAAAAAAAAAAAAGGUGGACUUGGAGACAUUCUUUCCCUGUUUGGUGUACCUCAAAUAGUUGAUUAAACUUCAACUUUAAUAUCAACAAUUAAUUUUAACAACACAUUUCUUAUGACACAGAAUUUUUAUCAACUUUUCAAAAAUAUAUUUCAUCAAUUUUUAUCAAAAUCUACUUAAAUAUAAUUUUUCGCUACAACAAACAAAGAUAAAUGUCAGUGUGUUGAAAGGUAGUUGUUGGGCAACAAAACUAGUAUAUAAUCCCACUUGCAUGAUAAUCUUAAUGCAUCUCAACAUAUAUUCCUAAGACAGCCGUAAUAAAACUAAGGUUGCUAAUAUGAGAGUUUGUGGGUUGUUUUUUCUCUGUCUUUAUGUUGUUUUAGCGGGUACUGUUCUUGCCAGAAAUUUGGAUGAUGAAGAGAAAUUUCUGUUCGGGAAGGGAGGAUGGCUUGGUCAUGGUUUUGGCCACAAUGGUGGUUUAUUCCCUCCUGGUGGAUUUGGCCCGGGUGGUGGUUUGUUCCCUCCUGGUGGAUUUGGCCCAGGUGGCGGUCCUGGCAGCCCGGGUGGUGGUUUGUUCCCUCCUGGCGGAUUUGGCCCGCGUGGUGGCUUGUUUCCUCCUGGCGGAUUUCGCCCAGGUGGUGGUUUGUUUCCUGGUGGACCUCCCUGAUUCUCUUGCGGCAGGGAUUUAGAAUAUCAAGAAUGGGCUUUGCACAAUCAGUAAUAUAUAUAUGGCGCUAAUAUAUUCCACAAUAAUUUCGAACCGUUCACUACAAAUACUUGUACCUGUGUGAAUUCUACUUCAUAAUAAAUGAUUUCUUUACCUACUAAUGAUCUCUGAAUCCCUCUUUCUAAGAUCCUUUGAUCAGUUUUCAUUAUGCAGAUUCCGAAAUACUACGAAGUAUAUAUGUACAAAUUAUGUGGCUUCUGAACUGAUUAAUGCUGGAAACUAAACUAUUCUCCUAAAGAGUCAAUCCUAAGUAAUUUCUAUCACAAUCAACAAAUUCAGAUUAUACUAAAGAGUCUACAAAUGGUACUUUAACCACAAAACUUGACUUAAAAUCGGUGGUAUAAUAUGAAUUCGAGCUUUGGCCCGGCUCAAGGCCCAAGAUCCCCAUUUUGGGGUGCUUUUGUAGCUCGUCAGCUUGGGCCUAAAAAAAAAAACGACAGAUCAAAGGUAGCAGGCUACUGCCUUGCUGCCUUAUGUAUUAGGGAAAAAAAAAUCAAGCCAGGUUUUGCUUGGCUUAAGCUCGCAAAAAUGCUCGGAUCAUUUUAUCCAAGUCGAGCCCGAGCCUCGAGUUUCGGCUCGGCUCAUUGACACCACUAGGAAGUUUUUAGGUGAAAUGUAAUAUUGAUGGCAUCAUUCAAUACAAUCUUUCCUUAAUUUAAGGUCUGAAAGUUGUAUUUGACAUUAAUUUUAGAUUUAUUGAUGAAGUUCUAUUUUAAGAUACUGCAAUGUCGUGGAUAAUAUAAUUUGACAGAACAAUGUUCCUCUUCUACCUUUAAUAAGUAGGAUUUAAUUAAAUUAUCGACUGAAAAUGAUGAUGAAGAAAUUGAGCAAGAUUACAAGCAGGUCAGAUCCAUUGUCUUCUAAUGUUGCUGUGUCUAAAGAUUCUUUAUGUGCUCCGUCAUUGAACGCGCUUCUAGAUACAACUUGUGCCAAAGCACCUUAUCUUAUCUAUGCAUCUUGGUGCAAUUUUAAGGAGAAAUGUGUAUGUACUUAAUUUCUAAUAGAGCAAUAGGUUUAAAUGUCAUUGUCGAAGAGAAAUGUAAGUUAGCAGUAAGUAUAGUAAACAUUAAUUGCAUUAUUUUUAUUUUUUAUUUUUUUUCUGCAAAUGUAUAUUCAGCCUUCUAAAAAUGCUAAUUGGAGAUGUUGAAGGUUGUCAUGAACAAAUUGCUUGACAGCCGUAUAGCAUAUAUGUCAAAGGUAUGUUAUAUCUUUGUAAGUUAAACAACUCUUUUUUACACAUAUUUUUUUAGUGAAAUCGCUACAAAGGUGUAAUAUUUAUUCUUAACUCUUUUACAAAUCAGACCGUCAAAUAUGAUUCCCAUCUAACAUUCCAAAUUAUUACUCUCGAACAUAUAUGAAUUGGAAUUCCCUCUUAAUGUCAUGCGUUCAGUUGAUGCAUGUAGUUGGGUCUAAUGAUCCAACAUUAACUUGCACGAUACAAUUUGAUUUUUAGGUCACUAUUAAAGGUCGAAUGGCAAAAUUUGUUGGAAAUUAAAUUUAAUUCAUGAAUGAUGAAAAAAAUUAAAUUUGAUACAUGAAUUAGUUUAUUUAAUAUUCAUGCAUUUAUUUAAAUCAUGUAUCCAAAUGAUUCUUUGCAUCCUAUUAUUCAUAGUAUGUAGGAAAAGUCAUUAAUUAGUCUAUUAAGUUCAUACAAUGUAUUUAGGAUCCUUUGUACUUAUAAAAGGUCUUGUGUUUGAGACAUUUUAUAGAGCCAAGCCAUAAAAUACAAAUAUUUUUGAAAAUUCUCUGAAUUUUUCUCUCUAGCCUUUCAUCCCAUAAUAUUUUAUUUCCAACAAAGUGGUAUCAGAGCCAUUUCAAAGAUGAAUAAUUCAUUUCCUUUUGUUGUACCCAAACUAACAAAGGAAAAUUAUGGAUAUUGGAGCAUACGCAUGAAGGCGUUGCUUAGCUCACAAGAGGCAUGAGAAGUUGUAGAGAAAGGCUAUGAUGAACCGAAGAAUGAAGGAGCUUUAAGUCAAGCUCAAAGGAAUGCCUUGCAAAGGUACCGCAAGUUAGAUCAACACGCUCUCUCUAUUUUCACAUGGGCUUAGAUGAAGCCAUGUUCGAGAAAGUUGUGUCCUCAACAAAAGUUAAGGAAGCUUGGGAGAUUUUCGAGAACAAUUUCAAGGGAAUUGAAAAGGUGAAGAAGGUGCGUCUUCAAAUCCUUUGUGGAGAGUUUGAAUCUCUACACAUGAAAGAGUCUGAAUCUGCCUUUGACUAUUUCACUAGAGUGUCCUCCAUUGUCAAUUAUAUGAAGCAGUACAGGGAGAAUAUUGAAGAAAGCCGUGUCAUCGAGAAAAUUCAUAGAUCGCUUGACUCAAAACUUGAGUUUGUUAGUAUUGUCAUUGAAGAGUCUAAUAACUUGGAUACCAUGACCCUUGAUCAACUCAUAGGGUCCUUGCAAGUAUAUGAAGAAAGAUUGAAGAAGAAAGGAGAACCGGUGGCUCAAGUUCUCCAAACGAAUGUCUCCUUGGGAGGUCNNNNNNNNNNNNNNNNNNNNNNNNNNNNNNNNNNNNNNNNNNNNNNNNNNNNNNNNNNNNNNNNNNNNNNNNNNNNNNNNNNNNNNNNNNNNNNNNNNNNNNNNNNNNNNNNNNNNNNNNNNNNNNNNNNNNNNNNNNNNNNNNNNNNNNNNNNNNNNNNNNNNNNNNNNNNNNNNNNNNNNNNNNNNNNNNNUUGAGGGGGCAUAUUGAAUAAUUACAUAUUUAGGAAGAUUUCUUUCCUUGUCAAUUGCAUUGUUUUAUUACAGAAUGAUUUCCUUUCCUACAUUAGAUUAAUACACAUUUUCUUUCAUUAUAAAAAGAGUUGUGUAACAUAUUCAUUCAAUUCUGAGAAGGAAUUCUUCAUUCAUAAAUUAUAUUCUAUCAAAUUCUAACAAUCUCAUCAUCGUUGCAACAAAUAACAAUUGUAACCUUCUCUUUAUUUUGCUUUUGGCCCACCAAUUACUUUGUUGCAAGAGAAGUAUCGGCUUGCAUUCGAUAAAAUAAACUAGUUUCAUCCAUAUUGUAAGUGUCUUUCCAAGCCCAUUUGUUUAAUUCAUCUUCUAUUGGUGGCAAAAUAGUAUCAAUUUUCUCCAUAUCAUCUGAACCAUUCUCCUCAAAGUAAUAGAAAGAAUGAAUUGCAUUUUGUUGCUUGAACUUUUCCAAUUAUCCAUUUGAAAAUUGAAAUGAGAUAACUUCGAGAUAGAGUUGCCUUAAAAUAAAAUUCCUUUCUGUUUUAGCAUUACCACUCAUAUUAACAUGCUCUUGAUGGCAUAAAAAUCAUUUAUAGAGGGUACACUCUAUUGCUGGUACAUUAGUGUCUUUCAACGUUUUGCAUUUGCGUUCUACAAUACUUCUUAAGGAGGUCGGUUGAAAAUUUGAUUGUCUUAGAUAUUGCAACUUGUGGUACCUUAAGACCUUAAAUAUAUUCUAACUGGUUCACAAGAUCUUUUAGCUUUCAGAUAGGGUUUGAGUUUUUCAUUUUGCACAACUCCAUACAAAUAUUUUCGAUUGGUUGAGUUUGUACAUUAAUUUUUGAUAGCAUGGUGAAUUUGCUAGAGAAAGAAAGAAAUGUAUCACUUCAAUUGGUUGAGCAUUGCAUAGGUUGUAUUAUAUAAAAUGUAUUCACAAAUUGAAAAAAAUAAUAAUAAUAAUAAUAAAUACAUCGAAGAGAAUAUAGGCUUUUAGACUUUUAAGAUUAAUGCUUUGCAUAUUUUUGACACUAAAUGAAUACAUAUAAUAGUUUUUUUAAUAUUAUGUCAUCUCUUUUUUUAGUGUUUAUACCUUGAUUUUAACAUUCUUCAUUUAUUAAUUAUAUUAAUAUAGUAUAUAUAGGCACUUCCAAUUAGGAUAAUUAAGUCAAAAUAAGAUUUUUUGUGAUUACACCUCUAUGAAGUUAACCUCCUCAUAGUAAUGAAAUUAGUUCGGUCCCAACAGUAUGACUAUAGAGAGGUUUUAAUGAACAUCGAAGACAUAAGUUAAAUUUAAAUGAAUGAAUACGUCAAUCUAUGUGGGCUCAAUCUCUUAGAUAAGUGUUCAACGAAUUAUUAAUUUGAAACAUAAUUCAGCGUAUUUAAUUAGAUUAAUUUGACUGUCUGAUCAUCCUUCAUCAACUAAUGGUCUAUUAAUCAUCAGUUUUUUUUGGUAGACAGGUGAAAGAAUUUCUGCCUAAUGCAUUAGGAGUUCUUCUUUGUCUCACCAAAAAAAAAAAAAAAAAUUCAACUUUAAUGUCAACAAUUAAUUUUAACAAAAUAUUUCUUAUGACCCAGAAUUUUUAUCAACUUUUCAAAAAUUUAUUUCAUCAAUUUUUUUAUCAAAAUUUAUUUAAUUAUAAUUUUUCGCUACAACAAACAAAGAUAAAUGUCAGUGUGUUGAAAGGUAGUUGUUGGGCAACAAAACUAGUAUAUAAGCCCACUUGCAUGAUAUUCUUAAUGCAUCUCAACAUAUAUUCCUAAGCCAGCCGUAAUAAAACUAAGGUUGCAAAUAUGAGAGUUUGUGGGUUGUUUUUUCUCUGUCUUUAUGUUGUUUUAGCGGGUACUGUUCUUGCCAGAAAUUUGGAUGAUGAAGAGAAAUUUCUGUUCGGGAAGGGAGGUUGGUUUGGUCAUGGUUUUGGCCACAAUGGUGGUUUAUUCCCUCCUGGUGGAUUUGGCCCAGGUGGCGGUCCUGGCCGCCCGGGUGGUGGUUUGUUCCCUCCUGGCGGAUUUGGCCCGCAUGGUGGCUUGUUUCCUCCUGGCGGAUUUGACCCAGGUGGUGGUUUGUUUCCUGGUGGACCUCCCUGAUUCGCUUGUGACAGGGAUUUAAAACAUCAAGAGUGGGCUUUGCACAAUCAGUAUAUAUAUGGCACUACUUUGUACUAAUAUAUUACACAAUAAUUUCGAACCGUUCACUACAAAUACUUGUACCUGUGUGAAUUCUACUUCAUAAUAAAUAAUUUCUUUACCUACUAAUCAUCUCUUAAU
This 7970-nucleotide long non-coding RNA is filed under the name Olea europaea (common olive). Its description in RNAcentral is "long non-coding RNA (OEUR_LNC010417)". The record is from RNAcentral. Lineage: Eukaryota; Viridiplantae; Streptophyta; Magnoliopsida; Lamiales; Oleaceae.